RNAcentral lists this ribosomal RNA (815 nucleotides) under uncultured bacterium. RNAcentral's name for it is "bacterial SSU rRNA". It matches the Rfam family "Bacterial small subunit ribosomal RNA", at positions 27 to 857 of the family's 1533-position model. The record is from RNAcentral.
GGACGAACGCUGGCGGCGUGCUUAACACAUGCAAGUCGAGCGGAAAGGCCCUUCGGGGUACUCGAGCGGCGAACGGGUGAGUAACACGUGAGUAACCUGCCCUAGACUUUGGGAUAACCCUCGGAAACGGGGGCUAAUACCGGAUACUCCUUGACUAUCGCAUGGUGGUCUCGGGAAAGUUUUUCGGUCUGGGAUGGACUCGCGGCCUAUCAGCUUGUUGGUGGGGUAAUGGCCUACCAAGGCGACGACGGGUAGCCGGCCUGAGAGGGCGACCGGCCACACUGGGACUGAGACACGGCCCAGACUCCUACGGGAGGCAGCAGUGGGGAAUAUUGCACAAUGGGCGGAAGCCUGAUGCAGCGACGCCGCGUGAGGGAUGACGGCCUUCGGGUUGUAAACCUCUUUCAGCAGGGACGAAGCGCAAGUGACGGUACCUGCAGAAGAAGCGCCGGCCAACUACGUGCCAGCAGCCGCGGUAAGACGUAGGGCGCGAGCGUUGUCCGGAUUUAUUGGGCGUAAAGAGCUCGUAGGCGGCUUGUCGCGUCGAAUGUGAAAUCCCGUGGCUCAACUGCGGGUCUGCAUUCGAUACGGGCAGGCUAGAGUUCGGUAGGGGAGACUGGAAUUCCUGGUGUAGCGGUGAAAUGCGCAGAUAUCAGGAGGAACACCGGUGGCGAAGGCGGGUCUCUGGGCCGAUACUGACGCUGAGGAGCGAAAGCGUGGGGAGCGAACAGGAUUAGAUACCCUGGUAGUCCACGCUGUAAACGUUGGGCGCUAGGUGUGGGGGACCUCUCCGGUCUUCUGCGCCGCAGCUAACG